RNAcentral lists this long non-coding RNA (2803 nucleotides) under Canis lupus familiaris (dog). Its description in RNAcentral is "lncRNA (ENSCAFG00845006737.1)". The record is from RNAcentral. Lineage: Eukaryota; Metazoa; Chordata; Mammalia; Carnivora; Canidae.
UUUCUCUCUCUCUCUCCCCCUGCCCCCUGCUUCCCCCUCACUCUCUCUCUAAAACAAAUUUUAAAAAAUGCUCCCUGUUUCUCUAUAUUUUUGUAGAUCAGUAGUUAUAUUGAGAGGGUAAUGUUUGUAUUUUGAAAAUCCACCAAUACAGUGAAGUAAAGGAAAGAAAAGUAAGACUGUAGAUUUAAAUAUUUUUCAGAUGCAAAUGAGAUAUAUAGUUUAAUUAAUAUAUUUUAUAGAUGACGAUACUGAGAUUGAAAGAUAUUUUAAAAGUCAUAAAGCUUGUAGAUAGCAUAGUUUCUGAUAGGAUCCAAGUGUCCUAAAUAGAGAAAACAGAAAUGGAAAUUUCAGGACAUAGAAAAUGUCCUGCACUUGAUGAAGAACAAUAGGAUAUAUUAGCAAUCAAGUAGUGGUUUCAAUUAGAUUUUUGUCUUCCUUACUAUAUAUAUAUAUAUAUAUACUACAUUAAGUUAGGCAAGUUGUUGGUUUCCUGAACCAUAGCAGACAUCAGAAUAGUUACAACUUUUUUUUCAUAGCAAAAAUAUGGAGAUACAAAUAUUUAGCCAAACAAGGUUUAAUCGGGCAUUAAAGGAUGCAGCAAAUUCAUCUGGACUAUAGGUGCCUAGAUGGAAUGUAGCCCCUGUCCUUUAGACAUGCAUGUAUGUCCUUUAGACAUACCCUUGGGGGUAUCUAAACUGGCAGAAGCCUGAAGACCUUCUUCAGUGGGUUUGCCUUAGAGGCCAGAAACACAGGAUUGUUAGAUUGUGAGCUGUAUGAGGGGGAAGGCUGCUACCUAUAGCUCCAGGUACAGGUUUUGUUUCUGUCAUUCUGCCCCUGCUAAUGUAUUUAUAAAAGGAAAUCAUGUGUGCUAAGUAUUGUCACCUAAUGAUUGACUUGUCACUUAACACUGAUAGAAUUUCUCCUUGUAGGUUUCCUACUGAAAUAAAGAAAUAUCUUAGCUGAAUAAUCAUUCAGAAAGUUGGCCAUCCUCAAUUAUCCCCAUGGGUAUGAAAAUACCCCCCCAUGGAACCAUGUUUUUCUCCUUUAUCAAUGCAGAGGCAUACAAACUGAAAACAUCUGCGGCCUCUAGUUCUGAUGACACCUGUGCUUUCUCACCAAGUGAAAAAUACAUGCCAGUGUCAUGGGACACAAAAUAAAAAAGUCAAGGACCAUUGCUGUAAAGGUGAACACUGGAAUUUGAAAGGUCAAAAAGUCCAUGGUUCCAGAUAUUUUCCCCGAACAACUUAGAAUGUAAGACUAAAAAUGUCAAUGAUUUAUGUUAGUGUUGCUUCCAAAAACAAACAAACCCUGUCAAAAGUAUAAAUAUUCACUUAAAGCUCCUUGUCAUUGUUUGUAUCACAAUAACAUUAUAGGGAAUUUCAUAUUGAUAAGAUAUUAUAGUUUUGACCCCUGGGGACCCAGAAAGUAAAAAAAAAAAAGAUUGAAAAAUGAGAUAGUCUUAUAGCCUGAGUUCUCCCUGUUGACAUGAGAGAUGUUCAGGUAAUUGGAUGGUAUGGGGUGUUGUAUAAGCUGGCUUAGAUACAGCUGGUAAAUGGCUGGCAAAAGUUUAUUAUAAAGACAAGGUAAAUGGGUAAUUUUCAUCACAUUUGCUUCCUUCAUAUAUCACUGUUAUCUAAAUCCAGGCUUUACCUUUCUAGGAUCCCUUUAGUUAAUCAGAGCUGACUUCAUCGACAGCUUGCUCUGGUUAAUUACUGAAGUGUUUUAACUGAAUACCCCAAGGAAUUGAUGUACUCAACCACCACUUCAAGGCUCAGAACAUGAGAAAUCUUGGCAGAAUGCUGGAGACAGUUUAUCAAUAUCUGAAGUAUUUAUUAUUUUAAAAACCUACACAGAGUCUAUAGAUACAUGGGUAAUGACACUACAGUGUUUAAACAAUAUGAUUUAACUGAAGAAUUCUUAAAAAAACUGAAUAUCAUUCUCUUGCUAAUACUAAGGCCAUGUACUUUGCCUUGUACUUUGAUUAACUAUUAACAUAGGCCUUUUACAAGAUAAAACUCAAGUGAUAUUUCAUCCAGCAAUUCUUAGAAUUUUAUAUUAGUUUUAAAUUUUUCUUUAUUCUGGGCAGCCAGGUAGCUCAGCGGUUUAGCACUGCCUUCAGCCCAGGGCGUGAUCCUGAAGACCCGGGAUGGAGUCCCACAUCAGGCUCCCUGCAUGGAGCCUGCUUCUCCCUCUGCCUGUGUCUCUGCUUCUCUCUCUCUCUCUGUCUCUGUCUCUGUCUCUCAUGAAUAAAUAAAUAAAAUCUUAAAAAUAUAUAUAUUUUAUUUUUUUCUUUAUUCUUUUUAAAGAUUUAUUUAUUUGAGAGAGAGAGACAGAGAGAGAGGGAGCAGGAGUGGGGGGGAGGGGUAGAGAGAGAAUGCCAAGCAGACUCCUCGAGAUGACUGAAAUGUGGCUGGAUCUCACAACCUAUGAGAUUGUGACCUGAGGUGAAAGCAAGAGUGGAACACUUAACUAAGCCACCGAAGCACCCCAAUAAUUCUUAGAACUUUAAUAUUAUACAUAAACUUUAUUUUUAUUUAUUAUUAUUAUUAUUUUAUUUAUUUAUUUAUUUAUUUUUUAGCUAGUUAAUGUUUUAUUGAAGAAAACUUGAACUUACUAUUAGCCUUCAGGAGAAAAUGGGUUACACUUGGCUUAGUUAGUCAUCUUUGUAAUGUACUUCUUCUUUUCCUUUUUUUUUUUUUUUUUGUAAUGUACUUCUUUUGUAAAAACUGUUAAACAUGAUUUUUAUCCCUGAAACCGAAGUGUUCUUUAAAAUUAACAGAAAUAAUUGGAGAACAAUAUGAGG